RNAcentral lists this non-coding RNA (28 nucleotides) under Mus musculus (house mouse). Lineage: Eukaryota; Metazoa; Chordata; Mammalia; Rodentia; Muridae. The record is from RNAcentral.
UGCACCAAUCUGUUCUCGUGUUCGAUUC